Molecule: long non-coding RNA, 86 nt
Organism: Melanotaenia boesemani (Boeseman's rainbowfish)
Lineage: Eukaryota; Metazoa; Chordata; Actinopteri; Atheriniformes; Melanotaeniidae
Exons: 3
Source: RefSeq, a predicted model, not a curated record
GUAUAUAUGAAGGUUAAGUCAAUAGGUGAAAGUAUUUAGAGCUCAAACUGAUGUUUAAAUGUACUUAAAAUGCUAAAAAGCAGAAC